RNAcentral lists this ribosomal RNA (1112 nucleotides) under uncultured fungus. RNAcentral describes it as "eukaryotic LSU rRNA". The stretch from base 489 to 1112 matches the Rfam family "Eukaryotic large subunit ribosomal RNA", at positions 1 to 649 of the family's 3401-position model. The record is from RNAcentral. Lineage: Eukaryota; Fungi.
UCGUAACAAGGUUUCCGUAGGUGAACCUGCGGAAGGAUCAUUAUCGAGUGUUGGAUCGCAAGAUCUACCUCCCACCCAUUGUUUAUUGACCUGUUGCUUCGGCAGGACGUUCCUCACGGACCGUCGGCACAUUGCGGGCGAGUUCCUGCCGAAGGAUUUAAAACUCUUACCUGAAGUCUGAGAAAUAUUAAAAAAAUCAAAACUUUCAACAACGGAUCUCUUGGUUCUGGCAUCGAUGAAGAACGCAGCGAAAUGCGAUAAGUAAUGUGAAUUGCAGAAUUUAGUGAAUCAUCGAAUCUUUGAACGCACAUUGCACCUCUUGGUAAUCCUCGAGGUAUACCUGUUCGAGCGCCGUUUGUGACUAAGGCUUUGUCUUGCGUUGAGGUUCCCCGGUAGGGGUCCCUCCAAACACAUCGGCGUCCUACGUGGCAUCGAAACGCAGAGAAAUGCGGCGAGAAGUCAUGAAGGGCGGCCAAUCUACGAAAGCAUGGCCUCGGAUCAGGUAGGGAUACCCGCUGAACUUAAGCAUAUCAAUAAGCGGAGGAAAAGAAACCAACAGGGAUUGCCCUAGUAACGGCGAGUGAAGCGGCAUCAGCUCAAAUUUGAAAUCUGGCUUCGGUCCGAGUUGUAAUUUGUAGAGGAUAGUUCGGUGAUGCUUUGACCCAAGUCUCCUGGAACGGAGCGUCUUGGAGGGUGAGAGCCCCGUAUACGGUCAGUCAGCAGAGCCAUGUGAACUUCCUUCGAAGAGUCGAGUUGUUUGGGAAUGCAGCUCAAAAUUGGUGGUAAAUUCCAUCUAAAGCUAAAUAUUGGCCAGAGACCGAUAGCGCACAAGUAGAGUGAUCGAAAGAUGAAAAGCACUUUGGAAAGAGAGUGAAACAGUACGUGAAAUUGUUGAAAGGGAAGCGCUUGCAAUCAGACUUGCAUUUAGGAGUUCCGCCGGUCAUUGACCGGUUCACUCUUCUAUAUACAGGCCAGCAUCGAUUCAGACAGCUGGAUAAAGGUUUUGGGAAUGUGACUUCUCUCGGGAAGUGUUAUAGCCCGUUACACAAUACAGCUUGAUUGGAUCGAGGACCGCGUUCGCUAGGAUGCUGGCGUAAUGGUUGUAAGCGGCC